AGACCCGAAACCCGGUGAUCUAGCCAUGGGCAGGUUGAAGGUUGGGUAACACUAACUGGAGGACCGAACCGACUAAUGUUGAAAAAUUAGCGGAUGACCUGUGGCUGGGGGUGAAAGGCCAAUCAAACCGGGAGAUAGCUGGUUCUCCCCGAAAGCUAUUUAGGUAGCGCCUCGUGAAUUCAUCUCCGGGGGUAGAGCACUGUUUCGGCUAGGGGGCCAUCCCGGCUUACCAACCCGAUGCAAACUGCGAAUACCGGAGAAUGUUAUCACGGGAGACACACGGCGGGUGCUAACGUCCGUCGUGAAGAGGGAAACAACCCAGACCGCCAGCUAAGGUCCCAAAGUCAUGGUUAAGUGGGAAACGAUGUGGGAAGGCCCAGACAGCCAGGAUGUUGGCUUAGAAGCAGCCAUCAUUUAAAGAAAGCGUAAUAGCUCACUGGUCGAGUCGGCCUGCGCGGAAGAUGUAACGGGGCUAAACCAUGCACCGAAGCUGCGGCAGCGAACGUAUCACUUAAAGCGAUUCAGCGGGUUACGAUUGACGGAGCGAAGCGACGUCAAAGCGUAUACAAAGUCGAGUCGGUUUAAGGAUACGUUCGUUGGGUAGGGGAGCGUUCUGUAAGCCUGCGAAGGUGGCCUGUGAGGGUUGCUGGAGGUAUCAGAAGUGCGAAUGCUGACAUAAGUAACGAUAAAGCGGGUGAAAAGCCCGCUCGCCGGAAGACCAAGGGUUCCUGUCCAACGUUAAUCGGGGCAGGGUGAGUCGACCCCUAAGGCGAGGCCGAAAGGCGUAGUCGAUGGGAAACGGGUUAAUAUUCCCGUACUUGGUGUUACUGCGAAGGGGGGACGGAGAAGGCUAUGUUGGCCGGGCGACGGUUGUCCCGGUUUAAGCGUGUAGGUGUGUGUUCCAGGUAAAUCCGGUUCACUUUAACACUGAGGCGUGACGACGAGGCACUACGGUGCUGAAGCAACAAAUGCCCUGCUUCCAGGAAAAGCCUCUAAGCAUCAGGUAACAUCAAAUCGUACCCCAAACCGACACAGGUGGUCAGGUAGAGAAUACCAAGGCGCUUGAGAGAACUCGGGUGAAGGAACUAGGCAAAAUGGUGCCGUAACUUCGGGAGAAGGCACGCUGACACGUAGGUGAAGUGAUUUACUCAUGGAGCUGAAGUCAGUCGAAGAUACCAGCUGGCUGCAACUGUUUAUUAAAAACACAGCACUGUGCAAACACGAAAGUGGACGUAUACGGUGUGACGCCUGCCCGGUGCCGGAAGGUUAAUUGAUGGGGUCAGCGCAAGCGAAGCUCCUGAUCGAAGCCCCGGUAAACGGCGGCCGUAACUAUAACGGUCCUAAGGUAGCGAAAUUCCUUGUCGGGUAAGUUCCGACCUGCACGAAUGGCGUAAUGAUGGCCAGGCUGUCUCCACCCGAGACUCAGUGAAAUUGAACUCGCUGUGAAGAUGCAGUGUACCCGCGGCAAGACGGAAAGACCCCGUGAACCUUUACUAUAGCUUGACACUGAACAUUGAGCCUUGAUGUGUAG
Molecule: ribosomal RNA, 1531 nt
Filed under: Salmonella enterica subsp. enterica serovar Infantis
Lineage: Bacteria; Pseudomonadati; Pseudomonadota; Gammaproteobacteria; Enterobacterales; Enterobacteriaceae
Also listed under: 1 other name
Description: partial 23S ribosomal RNA
Rfam family: Bacterial large subunit ribosomal RNA
Source: RNAcentral